AUUAUUUGGUCAAUGGUCAUAAACUGAUAUAAACUUUAUUUUGACUGAAGAUCUUUCCUGUAUGAAGUCCAUAUUUUAAUAAGUCUUCACGUGUUAAGUGUUCGGAGCUUUGUUUCGACCGUUUACUGGCUCGAAAUUUUUACAGCGUGAGCGUGAUAGUUUUCGAAGCUUUUUAUCUUAUGGAAAACUAUUUUUCCCAAUAUUUCGACACCGGAAUAUGCUACAUUGUUGUAUAUUUUAACAAACGAAUGCUUACAUAAUGAAAGGAUUAAUAAAGUACUCUACAAUAAACGCUUUAAUCGACAAGUAAAAGGCGGUACAGCUUUUGUGUACCUAACAUACAGUGCUGUACUCUGGCGCGAUAAAUGUGCAGUGAUACUCCUUAUUCUCCUAAUAUCUACUGUUUAUUUUCACUAUGGCACUUUAUAGUCAGUAUUCGAUAUUAACAGAACGAAACAAAACGACUUGCUUAUGUAUGCUUUAUAAUUUUUUCCGUGGAUUUAGUAUUUCUUUUUCAUGUUUAAAAGGAUCAAAUUCUUGGUUACCUACUUUAAACUCGACAGGCGAACGAAAUUUUUAUUUGCUAACUGGGUGACUAAAGGCUUUGAUUGAAAUAGGAAGGAUUUUCAGUUAUCUGAUGGCUUAUGAUGUUAGUAACCAUUUAUAAUAACUUACACUAGUGUUAGUAAAAACAAAUAUUUCUGCCAUAUAUUACGAAUGAAGAGAUAAAUUUCAAUAUCCGGCUAAUAUAAUAUUAUGGACAUUU
Plodia interpunctella (Indianmeal moth) is the source of this 766-nucleotide long non-coding RNA. RefSeq lists it as uncharacterized. The record is from RefSeq and is a predicted model, not a curated record. The transcript is spliced from 3 exons. Lineage: Eukaryota; Metazoa; Arthropoda; Insecta; Lepidoptera; Pyralidae.